AUUGAACGCUGGCGGCAGGCCUAACACAUGCAAGUCGAGCGGAGCGGCAGACGGGUGAGUAAUGCCUAGGAAUCUGCCUGGUCGUGGGGGAUAACGUCCGGAAACGGGCGCUAAUACCGCAUACUAUCAGAUGAGCCUAGGUCGGUUUAGCUAGUUGGUGGGGGAAAGGCCUACCCAGGCGACGAUACGUAACUGGUCUGAGAGGAUGAUAAGUCACACUGGAACUGAGACGCUGUCGAGCUGCCUACGGGAGGCCGCAGUGGGGAAUAUUGGCCAAUGGGCGAAAGCCUUAUCCAGCCAUGCCGCGUGUGUGAAGAAGGUUUUCGGAUUUGAAAGUACUUUAAGUUUGGAGGCGUUACGCACAGAAUAAGCACCGGCUAACUUCGUGCCAGCCGACGCGGUAAUUC
RNAcentral lists this ribosomal RNA (407 nucleotides) under uncultured bacterium. Its description in RNAcentral is "partial 16S ribosomal RNA". It matches the Rfam family "Bacterial small subunit ribosomal RNA", at positions 30 to 526 of the family's 1533-position model. The record is from RNAcentral.